GCAAGUCGAGCGGUAACAGGAAGUAGCUUGCUACUUCGCUGACGAGCGGCGGACGGGUGAGUAAUGCCUAGGAAAUUGCCCUGAUGUGGGGGAUAACCAUUGGAAACGAUGGCUAAUACCGCAUAAUGCCUUCGGGCCAAAGAGGGGGACCUUCGGGCCUCACGCCAUAAGAGUAGCCCAAGUGGGAUUAGCUAGUUGGUGAGGUAAUGGCUCACCAAGGCGACGAUCCCUAGCUGGUCUGAGAGGAUGAUC
Molecule: ribosomal RNA, 252 nt
Filed under: uncultured bacterium
Lineage: Bacteria
Description: partial 16S ribosomal RNA
Rfam family: Bacterial small subunit ribosomal RNA
Source: RNAcentral